This 253-nucleotide ribosomal RNA is filed under the name uncultured bacterium. RNAcentral describes it as "partial 16S ribosomal RNA". It matches the Rfam family "Bacterial small subunit ribosomal RNA", at positions 524 to 776 of the family's 1533-position model. The record is from RNAcentral.
UACGAAGGGGGCUAGCGUUGUUCGGAAUCACUGGGAGUAAAGCGCACGCAGGCGGAUCGAUAAGUCGGGGGGGAAAGCCCGGGGCUCAACCUCGGAAUUGCCUUCGAUACUGUCGGUCUCGAGUCCGGGUGAGGUGAGUGGAAUUCCUAGUGUAGAGGUGAAAUUCGUAGAUAUUAGGAAGAACACCAGUGGCGAAGGCGGCUCACUGGCCCGGUACUGACGCUCAGGUGAGAAAGCGUGGGGAGCAAACAGG